RNAcentral lists this ribosomal RNA (1370 nucleotides) under uncultured bacterium. RNAcentral describes it as "bacterial SSU rRNA". It matches the Rfam family "Bacterial small subunit ribosomal RNA". The record is from RNAcentral.
AGAGUUUGAUCCUGGCUCAGGACGAACGCUGGCGGCGCGCCUAACACAUGCAAGUCGAACGAGCGAGAGAGAGCUUGCUUUCUCGAGCGAGUGGCGAACGGGUGAGUAACGCGUGAGGAACCUGCCUCAAAGAGGGGGACAACAGUUGGAAACGACUGCUAAUACCGCAUAAGCCCACGGUGCCGCAUGGCACAGAGGGAAAAGGAGCAAUCCGCUUUGAGAUGGCCUCGCGUCCGAUUAGCUAGUUGGUGAGGUAAUGGCCCACCAAGGCGACGAUCGGUAGCCGGACUGAGAGGUUGAACGGCCACAUUGGGACUGAGACACGGCCCAGACUCCUACGGGAGGCAGCAGUGGGGAAUAUUGCACAAUGGGGGAAACCCUGAUGCAGCGACGCCGCGUGGAGGAAGAAGGUCUUCGGAUUGUAAACUCCUGUUGUUGGGGAAGAUAAUGACGGUACCCAACAAGGAAGUGACGGCUAACUACGUGCCAGCAGCCGCGGUAAAACGUAGGUCACAAGCGUUGUCCGGAAUUACUGGGUGUAAAGGGAGCGCAGGCGGGAAGACAAGUUGGAAGUGAAAUCUAUGGGCUCAACCCAUAAACUGCUUUCAAAACUGUUUUUCUUGAGUAGUGCAGAGGUAGGCGGAAUUCCCGGUGUAGCGGUGGAAUGCGUAGAUAUCGGGAGGAACACCAGUGGCGAAGGCGGCCUACUGGGCACCAACUGACGCUGAGGCUCGAAAGUGUGGGUAGCAAACAGGAUUAGAUACCCUGGUAGUCCACACCGUAAACGAUGAUUACUAGGUGUUGGAGGAUUGACCCCUUCAGUGCCGCAGUUAACACAAUAAGUAAUCCACCUGGGGAGUACGACCGCAAGGUUGAAACUCAAAGGAAUUGACGGGGGCCCGCACAAGCAGUGGAGUAUGUGGUUUAAUUCGACGCAACGCGAAGAACCUUACCAAGUCUUGACAUCCCUUGACAGACAUAGAAAUAUGUAAUCUCUUCGGAGCAAGGAGACAGGUGGUGCAUGGUUGUCGUCAGCUCGUGUCGUGAGAUGUUGGGUUAAGUCCCGCAACGAGCGCAACCCUUAUGGUCAGUUACUACGCAAGAGGACUCUGGCCAGACUGCCGUUGACAAAACGGAGGAAGGUGGGGAUGACGUCAAAUCAUCAUGCCCUUUAUGACUUGGGCUACACACGUACUACAAUGGCGUUAAACAAAGAGAAGCAAGACCGCGAGGUGGAGCAAAACUCAGAAACAACGUCCCAGUUCGGACUGCAGGCUGCAACUCGCCUGCACGAAGUCGGAAUUGCUAGUAAUCGUGGAUCAGCAUGCCACGGUGAAUACGUUCCCGGGCCUUGCACUCACCGCCCGUCA